CGCCAGGCUGCGAGCAGGGCGGGGACCCGGGGGACUUGGCGCACCUGCCGCGCGCUGCUGGCGCUUCCCGCUCCGCGUGACUCUAGGGCUAACUUCAGGUAAACCAUGCUUCUGGGCUGCAGGAUGCCUCCUGAGAGGGUGGACUACUCUGCUGGAUGGCUUUCCUUUGCCAACCCACUCCUUCCCAGUUGUGCCUCUGUGGACACCGACUUCUGUAGCCCUGUGAUGAACAACUCCAGCAGCCAGGCUCGAUCUGUUUUUACCUCUGUGUGAGAUCUCCCUGCUUUCCUCCAGCUAUCAGGUUCACGAAGAGGCUCCUCCCCUCGCACAUCUUCCUCGGGUCCGUUCUGUUUCCAUGGGAUUUGGGCUGGAUUCAGGAUGAGCACGGAUGAGGAGGAAAAGCCACAGGAAGAGUAAAAAUACCUGGCACUUGACUUCUUCAGACACAGUCUGGAAGAUGUUGUCUUUUCCAUCAACACCCAUGAUCUUAGAAAUAAUGGUUCCUAGUUUACUGAUUUUUCUAAAGUCACUCAGAAUUGGGAGGAGAAAUCAAAAUUUUCUCAUCUCUAAGCAGCUUGACUCAUCAUAACUCCAACCCCUAAAAGGAGUUUGUUCUUGAUGUUGGAAACCAUCUGCAGCUCUGGACCCAGUCUUCCUCAUUCAGUAAUACCAAGUAGAAGUGUGUCCACUGGUCUUAAACCUCUGUCUUCCGUGACCAUUAAACUAUAAACCACAAAAGGAUUCACAGACUUCUCUUCAUUCCCAGAAUUAAGAAAUCCCACUGAGAUCUGGGAUUCAAGGGCACCUCUUGAUUAAAUUUGUCAUUCAAUUGGCUUCCUAUGAAGCUCAAGACUGAAGAAGUUUUUUUCUAUUUGCAAGUAAAGAAAUCAAUAUUUUCAUAA
This 902-nucleotide long non-coding RNA is filed under the name Rattus norvegicus (Norway rat). RNAcentral describes it as "target of myb1 like 3 membrane trafficking protein (Tom1l3)". Lineage: Eukaryota; Metazoa; Chordata; Mammalia; Rodentia; Muridae. The record is from RNAcentral.